GAUGAACGCUGGCGGUAUGCUUAACACAUGCAAGUCGAACGGACUCUUCGGAGUUAGUGGCGGACGGGUGAGUAACGCGUGAGAAUCUGGCUUUGGGUUCGGGACAACCACUGGAAACGGUGGCUAAUACCGGAUGUGCCGAGAGGUAAAAGAGAAAUUGCCUGAAGAUGAGCUCGCGUCUGAUUAGCUAGUUGGUGAGGUAAAGGCUCACCAAGGCAGCGAUCAGUAGCUGGUCUGAGAGGAUGACCAGCCACACUGGGACUGAGACACGGCCCAGACUCCUACGGGAGGCAGCAGUGGGGAAUUAUCCGCAAUGGGCGAAAGCCUGACGGAGCAAUACCGCGUGAGGGAAGAAGGCUCUUGGGUUGUAAACCCCUUUUCUUAGGGAAGAACAAAAUGACGGUACCUAAGGAAUCAGCAUCGGCUAACUCCGUG
RNAcentral lists this ribosomal RNA (435 nucleotides) under uncultured bacterium. Its description in RNAcentral is "partial 16S ribosomal RNA". It matches the Rfam family "Bacterial small subunit ribosomal RNA", at positions 28 to 507 of the family's 1533-position model. The record is from RNAcentral.